GUCGAACGGUUCUUUCUUUGAUGAAGCUUCGGCAGAUUCGUUGAAAGAAUAGUGGCGAACGGGUGAGUAAUGCAUGAGCAAUCUGCCCUAAAGACCGGGAUAAGCUUUCGAAAGGAAGUCUAAUACCGGAUAAUAAAAUUCCAGAUCGCAUGAUUUGAUUGGAAUUCAAAGGUAGCUUUUUAAGCCUCUGCUUUUGGAUGAGCUCAUGUCCUAUCAGCUAGUUGGUGAGGUAAAGGCUCACCAGAGCUAAGACGGGUAGCCGGUCUGAGAGGAUGGUCGGCCACACUGGGACUGAGACACGGCCCAGACUCCUACGGGAGGCAGCAGUAGGGAAUCUUGCGCAAUGGGCGAAAGCCUGACGCAGCGACACCGCGUGGAGGAUGAAGGUUUUCGAAUCGUAAACUCCUGUCAAUAGAGGAAGAAGGUAUUAUAGGUUAAUAGCUUAUAAUAUUGACGGUACUCUGUAAGGAAGCCCCGGCUAACUACGUGCCAGCAGCCGCGGUAAUACGUAGGGGGCAAGCGUUAUCCGGAUUUAUUGGGCGUAAAGCGCACGCAGGUGGCUUUUCAAGUUGGAUGUGAAAUCUCUUAGCAAAACUAAGAAAUUGCAUCCAAGACUGGAUUGCUUGAGGUCGGGAGAGGAGAGUGGAAUUCUCGGUGUAGCGGUGAAAUGCGCAGAUAUCGAGAAGAACACCAUUAGCGAAGGCGGCUCUCUGGAACGAUACUGACGCUAAGGUGCGAAAGCUAGGGUAGCAAACAGGAUUAGAUACCCUGGUAGUCCUAGCUGUAAAUGAUGGGCACUGGAUGUAGGGAGAUAUCGACUCUCCCUGUGUCGUAGCUAACGCGUUAAGUGCCCCGCCUGGGGAGUACGACCGCAAGGUUAAAACUCAAAGGAAUUGACGGGGACCCGCACAAGCGGUGGAGCAUGUGGCUCAAUUCGAUGCAACACGAAGAACCUUACCAGGGCUUGACAUUCUGGUGGUAGUGAUCCGAAAGGUGAACGACCCUUCGGGGAGCCAGAACAGGUGGUGCAUGGCUGUCGUCAGCUCGUGUCGUAAGAUGUUGGGUUAAGUCCCGCAACGAGCGCAACCCUUAUCCUAUGUUACUAACAUUAAGUUGAGACUCUUGGGAAGACUGCCGGUGUUAAACCGGAGCAGGGUGAGGAUGACGUCAAGUC
Molecule: ribosomal RNA, 1174 nt
Filed under: uncultured bacterium
Lineage: Bacteria
Description: bacterial SSU rRNA
Rfam family: Bacterial small subunit ribosomal RNA
Source: RNAcentral